GAUCAUGGCUCAGGAUGAACGCUAGCGACAGGCUUAACACAUGCAAGUCGAGGGGCAUCAUGAGGUAGCAAUACCUUGAUGGCGACCGGCGCACGGGUGAGUAACGCGUAUGCAACCUGCCCGAUACCUGGGUAUAGCCCAUGGAAACGUGGAUUAACACCCCAUAGUACUUUUAUCCUGCCUGGGAUGGGAGUUAAAAUGUUUCAAGGUAUCGGAUGGGCAUGCGUCCUAUUAGUUAG
This 239-nucleotide ribosomal RNA is filed under the name uncultured bacterium. RNAcentral's name for it is "partial 16S ribosomal RNA". It matches the Rfam family "Bacterial small subunit ribosomal RNA", at positions 15 to 248 of the family's 1533-position model. The record is from RNAcentral.